Molecule: ribosomal RNA, 501 nt
Filed under: uncultured bacterium
Lineage: Bacteria
Description: partial 16S ribosomal RNA
Rfam family: Bacterial small subunit ribosomal RNA
Source: RNAcentral
GUUGAACGCUGGCGGCAGGCUUAACACAUGCAAGUCGAGCGGGGAAGGGUAGCUUGCUACCUAACCUAGCGGCGGACGGGUGAGUAAUGCUUAGGAAUCUGCCAUUUAGUGGGGGACAACAUUCCGAAAGGAAUGCUAAUACCGCAUACGUCCUACGGGAGAAAGCAGGGGAUCUUCGGACCUUGCGCUAAAUGAUGAGCCUAAGUCGGAUUAGCUAGUUGGUGGGGUAAAGGCCUACCAAGGCGACGAUCUGUAGCGGGUCUGAGAGGAUGAUCCGCCCCACUGGGACUGAGAAACGGCCCAGACUCCUGCGGGAGGAAGCAGUGGGGAAUAUUGGACAAUGGGCGGAAGCCUGAUCCAGCCAUGCCGCGUGUGUGAAGAAGGCCUUAUGGUUGUAAAGCACUUUAAGCGAGGAGGAGGCUACUUAGAUUAAUACUCUAGGAUAGUGGACGUUACUCGCAGAAUAAGCACCGGCUAACUCUGUGCCAGCCGCCGCAGUAA